Molecule: ribosomal RNA, 385 nt
Filed under: uncultured bacterium
Lineage: Bacteria
Description: bacterial SSU rRNA
Rfam family: Bacterial small subunit ribosomal RNA
Source: RNAcentral
AUUGAAUGCUGGCGGCAGGCCUAACACAUGCAAGUCGAGCGUGAAAGUCCUUCGGGAUGAGUAAAGCGGCGGACGGGUGAGUAACGCGUAGGAAUCUACCUAAUAGUGGGGGAUAACGUUUCGAAAGGAACGCUAAUACCGCAUACGUUCUGAGGAAGAAAGCAGGGGAUCGUAAGACCUUGCGCUAUUAGAUGAGCCUGCGUCCGAUUAGCUAGUUGGUGGGGUAAAGGCCUACCAAGGCGACGAUCGGUAACUGGUCUGAGAGGAUGAUCAGUCACACUGGAACUGAGACACGGUCCAGACUCCUACGGAGGCAGCAGUGGGGAAUAUUGGACAAUGGGGGCAACCCUGAUCCAGCCAUGCCGCGUGUGUGAAGAAGGCCUUC